UAGUCCACGCCGUAAACGAUGUCUACUAGCAGCUUGGUUUUUCGGAACCGUUUUGCGCAGCUAACGCAUUAAGUAGACCGCCUGGGGAGUACGGCCGCAAGGUUAAAACUCAAAUGAAUUGACGGGGGCCCGCACAAGCGGUGGAGCAUGUGGUUUAAUUCGAUGCAACGCGAAGAACCUUACCAUCCCUUGACAUCCAGAGAAUUUUUCAGAGAUGAAUUAGUGCCUUCGGGAACUCUGAGACAGGUGCUGCAUGGCUGUCGUCAGCUCGUGUUGUGAAAUGUUGGGUUAAGUCCCGCAACGAGCGCAACCCCUAUCCUUAGUUGCUAGCGCGUAAUGGCGAGAACUCUAAGGAGACUGCCGGUGACAAACCGGAGGAAGGUGGGGACGACGUCAAGGUCAUCAUGGCCCUUACGGGAUGGGCUACACACGUGCGUACAAUGGCAAGUACAAAGGGUUGCGAACUCGCGAGAGUAAGCGGAUCCCAUAAAGCUUGUCGUAGUCCGGAUUGG
This 512-nucleotide ribosomal RNA is filed under the name uncultured bacterium. RNAcentral describes it as "bacterial SSU rRNA". It matches the Rfam family "Bacterial small subunit ribosomal RNA", at positions 791 to 1301 of the family's 1533-position model. The record is from RNAcentral.